RNAcentral lists this ribosomal RNA (333 nucleotides) under uncultured bacterium. RNAcentral's name for it is "bacterial SSU rRNA". It matches the Rfam family "Bacterial small subunit ribosomal RNA", at positions 8 to 334 of the family's 1533-position model. The record is from RNAcentral.
AGGGUUUGAUUAUGGCUCAGGAUGAACGCUAGCUACAGGCUUAACACAUGCAAGUCGAGGGGCAGCAUGUCGGUUGCUUGCAACCGAUGAUGGCGACCGGCGCACGGGUGAGUAACGCGUAUCCAACCUACCCUUGUCCAUCGGAUAACCCGUCGAAAGGCGGCCUAACACGAUAUGCGGUUCACCGCAGGCAUCUAACGUGAACGAAAUGUGAAGGAGAAGGAUGGGGAUGCGUCUGAUUAGCUUGUUGGCGGGGUAACGGCCCACCAAGGCUACGAUCAGUAGGGGUUCUGAGAGGAAGGUCCCCCACAUUGGAACUGAGACACGGUCCAA